GCCGGGUAGCCGGGUUCGGGCGGGCGAUGAUUUCGCCGGGGGUGCCCUGCUGGACCGGCACCCCUUCGUGCAGCACGAUGAUCUGGUC
This 88-nucleotide transfer RNA is filed under the name Micromonospora gifhornensis. RNAcentral describes it as "tRNA-Ile". Lineage: Bacteria; Bacillati; Actinomycetota; Actinomycetes; Micromonosporales; Micromonosporaceae. The record is from RNAcentral.